Molecule: ribosomal RNA, 253 nt
Filed under: uncultured archaeon
Lineage: Archaea
Description: partial 16S ribosomal RNA
Rfam family: Archaeal small subunit ribosomal RNA
Source: RNAcentral
AACCAGCACCUCAAGUGGUCAGGAUGAUUAUUGGGCCUAAAGCAUCCGUAGCCUGUUCUAUAAGUUUCCGGUUAAAUCCAUACGCUCAACGUAUGGGCUGCCGGAAAUACUGCAGAACUAGGGAGUGGGAGAGGUAGACGGUACUCGAUAGGAAGAGGUAAAAUUCUUUGAUCUAUUGAUGACCACCUGUGGCGAAGGCAGCUUUCUGGACCAAUACUGACGCUGAGGUACGAAAGCGUGGGUAGCAAACAGG